GGAUUGCCCUAGUAACGGCGAGUGAAGCGGCAACAGCUCAAAUUUGAAAUCUGGCUCUUUCAGGGUCCGAGUUGUAAUUUGCAGAGGGCGCUUUGGCGUUGGCAGCGGUCCAAGUUCCUUGGAACAGGACGUCACAGAGGGUGAGAAUCCCGUACGUGGUCGCUAACCUUCGCCGUGUAAAGCCCCUUCGACGAGUCGAGUUGUUUGGGAAUGCAGCUCUAAAUGGGAGGUAAAUUUCUUCUAAAGCUAAAUACUGGCCAGAGACCGAUAGCGCACAAGUAGAGUGAUCGAAAGAUGAAAAGCACUUUGGAAAGAGAGUCAAAUAGCACGUGAAAUUGUUGAAAGGGAAGCGCUUGCAGCCAGACUUGCCUGUAGUUGCUCAUCUAGGCUUUUGCCUAGUGCACUCUUCUAUGGGCAGGCCAGCAUCAGUUUGGGCGGUUGGAUAAAGGUCUCUGUCAUGUACCUCUCUUCGGGGAGGCCUUAUAGGGGAGACGACAUGCAACCAGCCUGGACUGAGGUCCGCGCAUCUGCUAGGAUGCUGGCGUAAUGGCUGUAAGCGGCCCGUCUUGAAACACGGACCAAGGAGUCUAACAUCUAUGCGAGUGUUUGGGUGUCAAGCCCGAACGCGUAAUGAAAGUGAACGGAGGUGGGAACCUUAGGGUGCACCAUCGACCGAUCCUGAUGUCUUCGGAAGGAUUUGAGUAAGAGCAUGGCUGUUGGGACCCGAAAGAUGGUGAACUAUGCUUGAAUAGGGUGAAGCCAGAGGAAACUCUGGUGGAGGCUCGCAGCGGUUCUGACGUGCAAAUCGAUCGUCAAAUUUGGGCAUAGGGGCGAAAGACUAAUCGAACUAUCUAGUA
Molecule: ribosomal RNA, 857 nt
Filed under: Pleosporales sp. REF105
Lineage: Eukaryota; Fungi; Ascomycota; Dothideomycetes; Pleosporales
Description: eukaryotic LSU rRNA
Rfam family: Eukaryotic large subunit ribosomal RNA
Source: RNAcentral